GCGUUUUCUGAAAAAAAUGACAGGCUGUUGGUCCAGAGCAGCAUCUCUGCAGCUUAGGACCAGCAGGCUGCCAUCCCGGCACUGUUCUGCUUGCAGACAGCGCUCCAGGUUCUCCUGAUGUGGCACUCAGAGGGCGUCCCUCUGCCGUGCAGCCCUCCCCAGUGCCUGCCUGCCUGUCACUGUUGCGGCUGGGAUGGAGCUGUUUCCUUUGCAGUGCCUGCUAUGGCGCUGUGUCCUGGUUCUGUCAGCGCUCCGUGCCGUCCUGCAGGCUGUUGUGCAGAGCGCAGUGCUGUGGAGCUGUGCUUCCCGGCCCUGUGCUCUCCAGCACUCUCACAGGAGUUCCAACGCUCCCAGAAAUCUCCGGUUAGAAGUCUCCGCUGCUCCCGUGCACGCACAUCUGCGUGCAGGGAUGUGUGCAGAACCACACAGCCACGUGCAAAGAUUUCCCUGCACACACACCUGUGCAUUCACACACACGUGCAAACGCAUCCUUGCACAGACCUAUGUGCGCACUCCAUCCAUGUGCACGCAAAGGUGUGCAAAAGCAAAAGGCCUUGUGCAAAGUCUGUGGGGGAGAUGUGCUGAGUCUGAGAAGGUCCUUGAGGAGCUAUAGGGCUCUCUGGGGGUGUGUUUGGUGGAUAUAGGGACAUUAAGGGAUGUGGGAAUACAGGCUGCAGGAGCAGAAUGCUGUUCAGGAGAAGACAAGACGUGGGCUGCAGGUGGGACACAGGGGCAUGGGGUAGUAUGGGGACGUAGAGAGUAUGGGAGGAUGUGGGGAGCGGUUUGAGGUAAAAAGAGGUUGGGGGGGGAAGUGUUGGAGUGGUUUCAUUUCAUCUUGAGAGGAGACUGGGCGUCCCUGUGGCCCAAAGGUGGGGCCCUGAGCCGUAACCCCACAUGAGCCAUAACCCAAGAUGACCUCAUCACCCUGUAUGUGCGUGACCCCAUGGCUGCACGUGACCCGCAGCCCUGGGGGAACCAUACCCCCACAUGACCCUGUGACUCCCUGACUCUGCCUGCUCCCAUCACACUGUGAUCCAAUGCCAUGUGUCCCCAUGACUCUGGGAUCCCUGCCCCCACCUCACCCCGACCAUACAACCCCAUGGGACCAUGAACUCCAUGUCACCCAAUCUGAGCCUAUAGCCCCACAUCACCCCGUAACUCUGACACUGCUGGACCACCAUGUCACACACGACCCCACGUCCUCACCUCAUGUGGAUGUAGAACCAGUUGCGUGUGGGGAAAAGGCAUCUCCUCCUCUGGGUGGAGCUGCCCCACAGCUGCCCCAAAGAAGCCAUGGGGAGGGCUGCAGCCGUACGCCUCAGUUUGGAGAGCUGGGAACUGGCCAAAGGGGCCAGAAGAAGAACAUGAAUGCUUCUGUAGGGAAAUACCUGUCCCAGGGUUUGGUGGGUUCGUAGCUUCUGUUUCUGUAAGUGGAUGAGAAGAGAACAAACUGAUCCCACUGAGACCGGGGAAGGGACUGGAGCUUGGCUUGAACCAGGAACGGAGCAGGGAUGGACUGAAGCAAAUCAACUCUUUCAUGGGACAGUGGCAGAAGAAACCCAAGUCAGCUGCAGAACGAAAAACACAACCCCUUACAAAAGGGCGUCCCAGACUGGGGCCGUUGCAGCAGUAGGGGCAGUGCCUCUUGGAAGGGAUCUCGCGGUGAGACUGAAACCUUUUCAAAAGGCAUUAUGAAACAAAAUUAGAUUAUUAAACAUAAUCAUUAAACAUAAACAGAUUACCUAAAGCCCAAGGAGAAAACACGUUUCAGAUUGAAGACCACAAAAGCAUCAUAUUCUAUUGCAAGACAACUUCAGUUCCAGUUUCAAUUUCAUGACUAGCAUUUCACCCUCCCUGCUGUGGAAAGGGGGGAAAGAAGGAAGGGAGAGCCUUCUCGCCCCACAUCCCUUUAGAGAUCACCCUAUAGCUCCAGAUCAUCCUAUGGACCCACACAGCCCCUUAGAGGACCACAUCCUCCAAACACCCCCUAUAGCCUUAUAUCUCCCUAUAUCCCCAAAUAGCCCACCACAGCCCCUCUGUAACCCCCAAAGCCCCAUUUUAGCCCCCCAUACCUUCUCCAGCAUAACAUCCCUCUCUACAGACCCUCCCUGGCCCCCUAUCAUCCUAUACCCUCCCACAGCCUGCCACAACCCCCUAAAAAUUCACUACUACCCAUAUCUCCCUAUAUCCCCUCCACAGCCCCCUAUAGCCUCCUACCCUACUAGAACCCUCCUACAGACCACCCACAGCUCCCUAAAGCCCCAUAACCACCUAUAAAGCUCCUAUAGCCUCUCCAUAGAACCAUAUAGCUUUCCCAAUAGCCCCCUACAGCGUCAUAAUAUUCCCCUGCUCCCUACAGCCACAUAGCACCCCAUGUCCCCUCUACAGCCCUAAGACCCUCCCUACAGUCCCCCAGCCUCUAAAGCCCAAUCUCCCCUUAUAGCUCCCCACAGACCCACACUGGCCCUAGACUCCCUCCAGAGCCCCCCACACUCUCCCAUAUCCAGCCUCAUAUCCCCCUAGAACCCUUCUAGACUCCAUAUCUCCCCUAUAUCCCCACAGACACCCUAUAUCCUCCCUCAGGCCCCCACAAUCUCCUACAGCACAACAUCCUGCCCUAGAGCCCCCCCCAACCCCUAGCACCCUCAACCCUCCCACAUGUUGCCACAAACCCCUAAAGCCACAUAUCCCCCUCGAACACACCUAUAGCCCUUACAGCCCCCUCAUAGAACCGUGGAGCUCCUCCCAAAGCCCCCUACAGACCCAUAUCACCCCUAUACCCCCACAGCCCCCUAGAGAACCAAAUCCCCCUAUAUCCCCC
This is a long non-coding RNA of Gallus gallus (chicken), 2821 nucleotides long. Lineage: Eukaryota; Metazoa; Chordata; Aves; Galliformes; Phasianidae. The record is from Ensembl.